This is a long non-coding RNA of Drosophila sulfurigaster albostrigata, 2258 nucleotides long. RefSeq lists it as uncharacterized. NCBI's taxonomy places the organism in Eukaryota, Metazoa, Arthropoda, Insecta, Diptera, Drosophilidae. The transcript is spliced from 2 exons. The record is from RefSeq and is a predicted model, not a curated record.
UUACCGUGAAAUUAGAAGCAUAAUAUAAAAAAAUUAAUAAAAAUCCUAUUUGAAAAAAUUGUCGUGAUAUGCUUGAAAAUUUAAUUUUAUAUUAAGAUCAUGGAAAAAGUAUUAGUCAUAAUAUAUUCAUAAUUCGAACGACAUUCAAAGCAUCUUUGUUCUCUCGAAACACUACAAUAAAAAUAUUAACUAUCGAUCUACCCGUUAAUGCAAACAACAAUAGAAAACAGUAUUCGAUGACACCAUCAGCAGCACGUUGUUAAAAAGUCAGUUAAUGAAAUAGUUAAUUGAAUUGCAAGUCAAAUUAAAUGUUUGCCUGCAGCAGUAAUUAUCAAUAGUUGAUUAUGUGGAAAUAGUAUUUACACAAUUGCCGCCUUAUAAGUAGGAGACGAAUUCCAGUUGAUAGCUGAUUACCAUACGACGAUGAUGAUGAUGAUGAUGCAAGCGUGUGUUGAACUCCAACUAGCUCAAGUGACAAGCCAUGAAAUUAAUUUUAAUUUCAUUAUUAGAGACAGAAGUGUGCACUAUCUGGGAAGCCGAUUGAUUUAUGUAUUUGUUUAUAAAUUAUGUAAAUGUGUUUCUAAAGAAGCACGUAUAAAAAUAUUGAAUAAUAUUUAGUCAGUUCGGCAAACUGUUAAUGAGCUAACGACAAAAUUUCAUGCCUCAUGACUUUUGGCAGUAAUAUUUAUUCUAUUUGGUAUAAAUUGUCACGGCCCUCGAGGCCAAGGCGUAGAUACAAAUUAGCCUCAACUUAUUGGAGCUGAGAACUGAGCCGGUUUGAACUCGCCGUCGUCUCAUAUCGUAUUUUUGGUAUCAAUGAUUUCAUAAACAAGUUUUGCCUGCGGACUUCACGGCUUUUAAUUAUGCGUUAGACAAAAAAUAAUUCUGCACAUACACGUAGAUAUCUCUCAUUGCCCAAAGAUACGUACAUAAAAGUUUAAAUGAAUGCCUGCAAUUAUUUAUGCGUCACACCCAAUCGAUUUCUAUCCUAGGAUAGCCUCCCAAGAGCCGGUGCCCGAGGCGUCUCUAAUCUACAAUUUACAAUCUACAAUGUCCAAUCUCAGUGUUCGAGUUGAGAUCAAUGAAAAUGUUUUAUUGAUGUGUUGUAGCUAAUGUAAUUUUGUAUUGUUUAAAUUAUUGCCGCCUUGGUUGGAAAUCAUUAUUUUUUAUGUGCCAGCUUGACCGCCGGCGUUGCUCAGUUGCUCAGUCGAUCGUUUACUCAACUGCUCAGUUGUUUUUGUUUUUUUUUUAACGAUUGUCAUUUGUAUUUUAUAUUUUUUCACGUUCAUUACAAGUGGUUUUUUCAGAGACCCCGCUGAGUGUCGAACUACUGUGUCGGUAGUAAGUGAAUAAGAGAGUUUUUAACAGAACUUCUGAGCUGAUCUCUGCCACUUAGCAGUAUUUCCGGAUUGUCUUCUAUAUAAAUACUUAGCAUAUAAUAAACUCACUCUCUAUCAAUUAAACAACUUUGGUUUACCUGCAGUUCAAACGAACUAAGAACAACUGAUUAAUUUCUUAGGAAUCUUAUGAAUAAACCUUGACUCUUUCUGUCGCUUAUCAUCAAUUACUUAAUCAGUAAGAGUAUUCUGCAGUCGGAUAAUCCUCACUGCGGUAAUCUGCUUUGCGAGACAGAAUCUUGUGCUGAGUAAAUAUAUAUAUAUAUGAGUAAGUACUCUAAAUAUAUGUACAUAAACAUAUUCAAGGCAGUUGAUGAUAUUAUUUUGUUUACUUCAUUAAUAAACGCACUGAAUAAUCUAGGCCAACUCGACUAUUGAAUACCCUGCAAGUCGAAUUAAUAUUCCAAAUUCUAAGAAACUUAUCUUCUAAGAGUAUAUUAUGCUACAGAGUAUUUACAAAUUGUAUAAGUUCUCCCUCUUUGUAUUCUAUUUUUUUGACAAAUUACGUCUUAUCUUCGGAGCAGCAGCUUUUGUUGAGCUAUUUAUUAUUAUGCACACGGCAGAUAAGAUGACAGUCAGAGAAUUCCAGCAGCAACCGAAGCAUCUUCAAAUCAGAGCAAAUCAUAAAAACCAAGACCCAAGAUGAACAACAAAAUAUUCACAUGUGCAGCUUUACUUUUGGCACUCACUGUGGCUGAGUCCCACGCCAAUUUGUGGGACGAUAUUACCGAUAAAUUUGACGACAUGGUUGAUUACAUAAAAGACUUAUUCUCUUAGACAAAUUACAAACAGUGCCAAACAUUAACGAAAACAAAUCAAAAACAUGUAAACAAUAAACAAAUAAAGUGAACUACAAUCGUU